UUUUUAUUUGAUAAUACUAAUGAUUAAGCUAACUUUUAAAGUAGAGAAGAGUAACAUUACAUGAUUGCUAUAGCGCCUACCAAAAUACAUUUCCGUAUACAUUUUCAUUCGAUACUAAAUUAUGAUUUUUAUAAUUACGAUAUUAAAUAUUAUAAUUUUUGUCGUUAUUAUAUUAUAAUAGCAUUGAAUUUAUUAUUAUAUAUUAUACAAUGUCAUAACAAUGAAAAUUUUGACAUUUAUUGCCACAUGAAAACAUACCUUAAUGAGUGGUAUAUGUAGCAAUGCGUCAUGUUAAUCUCUUUUUUAUUAAUUUUUUCCCUUACUACAAAUGAAAAUGUGAUGUCAUAUGACGUUGAUGAUAUUAGAGAGAGAAUGGAAAUAGAAGUAAUGUAAUGUCAUUUUUUUAAAAGAAAGUUUUUACGAUACGUUAUUUAAGAUCGGAUUGUCAAGCGACUUAUAGAAUUUGAUACUAUAUUUUAAUUAAAAAUAAUAGAAAAAUUAAUUGAGAAUUACUAUUAUAUAAAUAUAUAUAUAUGUAUGAUAAAUAUACGAGAAUAUUGUCCAUCAAUGUAAUAAUUUUUUGUAAUUUCGUAUAAAUAUUUUGAUGUUUUAAAAAUAUAAUAUGAAGAAAUAAAAUUAAAAAAAAGAAAACCUAUAUGAACUCAAA
Molecule: long non-coding RNA, 667 nt
Organism: Apis cerana (Asiatic honeybee)
Lineage: Eukaryota; Metazoa; Arthropoda; Insecta; Hymenoptera; Apidae
Source: RefSeq, a predicted model, not a curated record